AACACAGGUGCUGCAUGGCUGUCGUCAGCUCGUGUCGUGAGAUGUUGGGUUAAGUCCCGCAACGAGCGCAACCCUUGUCACUAGUUGCCACCAUUGAGUUGGGCACUCUAGUGAGACUGCCGGUGACAAACCGGAGGAAGGUGGGGAUGACGUCAAGUCCUCAUGGCCCUUAUGGGUAGGGCUUCACACGUCAUACAAUGGAUGGUACAAAGGGUCGCCAACCCGCGAGGGGGAGCCAAUCCCAUAAAGCCAUUCGUAGUCCGGAUCGCAGUCUGCAACUCGACUGCGUGAAGUCGGAAUCGCUAGUAGUCGUGGAUCAGAAUGUCACGGUGAAUACGUUCCCGGGUCUU
Molecule: ribosomal RNA, 350 nt
Filed under: uncultured Polaromonas sp.
Lineage: Bacteria; Pseudomonadati; Pseudomonadota; Betaproteobacteria; Burkholderiales; Comamonadaceae
Description: bacterial SSU rRNA
Rfam family: Bacterial small subunit ribosomal RNA
Source: RNAcentral